This 873-nucleotide long non-coding RNA is filed under the name Macaca mulatta (Rhesus monkey). RNAcentral describes it as "lncRNA (ENSMMUG00000052359.1)". Lineage: Eukaryota; Metazoa; Chordata; Mammalia; Primates; Cercopithecidae. The record is from RNAcentral.
CCACAGAUGCCCGCGGGGGGAUGAGCUCACAGACACCCUCAUUGUCAUGGAGGCUGUGGGGUGUGUGGGUGGGGCUGAGGGGCUCCUGCCAUCCCUUUGCUGCUAGCCAGGCCUUGAUGAGGGGAGGGGAGCUGACUUCCUAGAGAUCGCGCCACGUGCCUUCCGCCAUUUGUGAAGAACCCGCCGAUGAAGCCCAGCCUCGGUGGUCAUAAAUUGGUGCCUGGCGAGAUGCCAGCGAUGUCCAACGUGAUCACUCUUCAGGUCCCACCACACCGAUGGACUGCCCCGCAGGACCUCACUGCUGGACUGCACCGCAGGACCGCACCGCCGGACCGCCCCGCUGUCCUGGCAGUGCGGAAUAACAACGUGCACCAUUUAAAUGUAAGGUGACACUGCAGUCAUUACAAGAUGUGAUUGAUCUAGAUUCAUCCAGCUGCUUAGAUUCAUGGGAACUUCUGGAAAGUGAUGGGAAAAAGUGACGGGAGCCUGCAUCACACCUGGAGCCCAUCAAAGUGACGGAACAGCACUCCGAAGGCAUGAGCACUUCCUGGUAUGGAAAUCAUUCCUCGGUUUCCAAAAACAUCCACACUGGUUUUUCUACGAAUGGUGGGAUUUUAUUUAAUUAUAUUUUAUUGUUCAACCCUGUCUGUGUUUUGUAAGUUUUCUGAAUUUAAUUCUACCUAUUGAAAGAUGCCCAUCAUGUACUCAAGAAAAUCAACUUGGAGCAUUGAAAUAAAAUACAAAAAUUGGGGGAUGCAGCUAAAGCUUAAGGAGAAACUGAUUACUCCAAUGCCUAUAUUAGACAUGAAGAAAAAGUUUAAAAUCAAUUAUCUUUGCUUCCACUUUAGGGAGCUAGUUAAAAAAGAAAAAAUU